UGGGGAAUAUUGGACAAUGGGGGCAACCCUGAUCCAGCCAUGCCGCGUGCGUGAAGAAGGCCUUAGGGUUGUAAAGCGCUUUCGGCGGGGAAGAUGAUGACGGUACCCGCAAAAGAAGCCCCGGCUAACUCCGUGCCAGCAGCCGCGGUAAUACGGAGGGGGCUAGCGUUGUUCGGAAUUACUGGGCGUAAAGGGCGCGUAGGCGGACCAUUAAGUCAGAGGUGAAAGGCCUGGGCUCAACCCGGGAACUGCCUUUGAAACUGAAGGUCUAGAGGCCGAGAGAGGUUAGCGGAAUUCCCAGUGUAGAGGUGAAAUUCGUAGAUAUUGGGAAGAACACCAGUGGCGAAGGCGGCUAUCUGGCUCGGUUCUGACGCUGAGGCGCGAAAGCGUGGGGAGCAAACAGGAUUAGAUACCCUGGUAGUCCACGCUGUAAACGAUGUGUGCUAGCCGUUGGAAAACUUGUUUUUCAGUGGCGCAGCUAACGCGUUAAGCACACCGCCUGGGGAGUACGGUCGCAAGAUUA
Molecule: ribosomal RNA, 523 nt
Filed under: uncultured bacterium
Lineage: Bacteria
Description: bacterial SSU rRNA
Rfam family: Bacterial small subunit ribosomal RNA
Source: RNAcentral